Molecule: RNA transcript, 7222 nt
Organism: Choloepus didactylus (southern two-toed sloth)
Lineage: Eukaryota; Metazoa; Chordata; Mammalia; Pilosa; Megalonychidae
Gene name: tubulin monoglycylase TTLL3-like
Exons: 15
Source: RefSeq, a predicted model, not a curated record
CAGGACAGAUUUUUUUUAACGUCUUGAAUCUUAAACUCUGUGCUUGUAGGAGACUGUAACCUUUUGUCUUUUUCUUUUUUUUUUUUCUUUUUUUAAACAAACAGCCUCCACCUCCAAUGGCUGUGACUGGUCCCAGUGAUUGUACCUUAUUGGUUGCUGUGGGUCUGGGCGGGCCUGGAGCCAGAAGGCGACUACUGUUCCUCCCUGGUGCCACCCCAGGUGGGGAGGGAGGUUUCAGACUCCAGUUCCUCUCCCUUGCCCUCUUAUCCCCAUGCCUCCUUGGGCCCAGUAGAAGCAGCAGGGACCCUUUGCAGCUUCCUGAGCUCUUCCUGAAGAUGGCCGCCUAGCACUGGCUGGGGACGGGCUGAAUCAGUGGGCACCAGCCACACCUAGUUGCUGAGGCCUGAAAGCCAGGCCGCCUCUGGCCACAGGGGCCAUUUCGUGCCCUCCCGACUGAGGGGUGGCUGUUUUGCCUUGUCUGUCAGUGCAGUGCCUGUGCUAGAGGUGGAGAGGUGAGUCCUUCCGGCGGCUGGGCAGCCUCCCACCUGCUCUGGCCCCUCUGCUCCUGCUCUCGCUGUACCUUUUCUUAUUCUGGUGGAUCCUUCCUCCCCUAAUUAAAGUCUCUUCUUGCCCCUUUGGGGCUGCAUGAGGUCUGUGCUCUGUGUUUACAUGUAAUGGAUGGGAGAAGGGGCUUUUUCUUCCCCAAGACCAUGUGGCUAGUACUUGGGCCCACCAGAGACCGUCUUGUGAUUAGUCCCUGGCAUCCCUGCCAAGGGCUCCAUCGCAGAGACCCUCAUUGAAGUCAGGCAUCAUUCAUUCCUGAAACUGCUGUCUAUACAGGGCUUUUAAUGCUUUUCACAUAAUGAUCUCAUUUGAACUAAAAGGUGACUUCCAAGAAACAGCAUUCCCUUUUCAUGGAUAAAGAAACAUGUUUUGUGAGAUGCAGUGCCUUGUCCCAAAUCUCCCAGCCGAUGAACAGAAAAGUAUUAGACUUCAAAUUCAAUACUUCUCCUCUUCCUCUGCUGUUCAAUACUGUAGCCACUAGCCCAGUAUGGGUAUUUAAACUAAUUAAAAUAAAGUUAAAAAUUCAGUUCCUUAGUUCUGCUAGCCACAUUUCUAAAGCUUAAAAGCCACCAGUGGCUAAAGGCUUCCCUAUCAGCACAUUUAGAGAACAUUUCCAUCAUUGCAGAAGACCUGUGUGAGGCCUCUAAAAGGGAAAAACAAAAACAACACUUGGGUUUGAGUCCUGGCUCUUGUUGCUGAAUGUGAGCAAGUUAUUUUUAUCCGGUGCCUCAGUUUCUUCCUUUAAAAGUAGAGCUAAUAAAUGUAAAGUCUGGCUCACAAGCACUUAGUAGAUAGGUGUUCUUUCCAGUAGCUCAGGGUCUGAGGAUAACUGCAUGCUAGGCAUGGGGGAGGACAUCAUCCCUGCCUUGAGGAGACUUGGGGGAUAACAGGAGAGCUGGGCAUGGGAAAGGGCAGGUGUGGCUGAAGGGUUUCAUAUGCUCCCAUGAGUCUGUAGAGACAUGGGGUCAGGGAUGUCAGGAAAGCCUCAAAAACUGAGCUUCAGAAAGAGGUUUCCCCAGAUGGACAAAGCGGUCCUCUUUUGAAGGGAGGGCAAGUUAUGUUGAAGGGAGGAGGGGCAAGGGGAUGGGGGCAACUCACACAGCUUUCAUCCCCUUUGUGACAUUAUCUCUGUGACCUCCCUCUCUAGCCUUGCAGAAGUGGGUGUGCCCUCCUCUUAGGCAUAUAACUUGUGGCUCUACAGGAUGCUCACAGAGAAGCUGGAUGUUCGCUAGGGUAUGGCAUCGGGUCACUCAACAACCCCCACAAGACAGCAUUGCCCGGGUGAGCUGGCCAGUACCCUCAGUUGUCACCAAUCCCUUUCCCAGGGGCCGAAGUCCCUAAACUCCAAGUUGCAGGCUGGGUGAUAGCUGAUCAGCCCAUCCUGUCCUGGUGGUCUGCUUCUUGGGAAGCCCAGCCAGCAGCCAAGGGGGUUAGGAAGGGUGAGCUCAGUGGCAGGGCUCAUCUUGCCAACUGGGUGGGGGACCCACCUGCUCAGUAACUGGCAAUGCUUGGUUCUUAGACCAGGGUACAGGGUACUGUGUUCCCUGGACUCUGCUUGGAUGGCUACUGCUAGCAUGUGCCCCUCAAACUGCCCUGUUGGGUACUUCCAUGACCACCGUGCACUCUUUCUGAGUGACAACUGUCCAGCAAACAAGUGGGAGUUUUGGAAUCACAUCUAGGUUCCAGUGCUGCCCUGCUGUAUGAUUUGGGGCAAAUUAUUUGACAUCUUGGAAUCCUGUUUUUCUCACAGGUAAAUUGAGGCUAAUACUUUGCUAUUUCCUCCAAUAGGGUUAUACUUAACAGUCUCGGCUGGAGGGCUGUGCAUAACUGUAUUUUGAUGUAUUUAUUCCAUGGUUGACAGUGAUUUUUCUAUUUCCAAGUUAUAGGAGGGGUGAGAGGUAGAGUUUGUACCUUAUCAAUGUUGCCCCUAUAUACUGUCCUGGCUCUCAGAUCUAUCCCCAAGCCCCAGCCCUGCCGAAUCUGGUCCUGCCUCACCAGGCUUCAGCCACUCUGGCCAUGUUUCAGUUCCCCAAAAAGGUUCUUACCCUCAGGGCUGUUGCUGAGACUGUUCCUUUCUGCCGGGAAUACUGUUUCUUCCCUCUUCCCCUGGCUGACUGCACUCUGUAGGCUUCAGCUGAAAUGUCAUCCUUGCCCACCUUAUCUAAAGUGGGCCUCCUUCCUGAUUUCAGCUCAUUGCUUGUUCAUUAUUCUCAUCAAAACUGUAGCUGUUCCAUUCUUUUGUUUACUUGCUUUGUUUGUUUCUCCCGCUGGGCCUCAAGCUGCAGAGGUUAGAAACUGUCUCUUGCUUGUUCCCAGAGUCCGGAGGGCGUAGCCCAGUGACUAGCACGUGUUCCUCUAUAAAUACUGUGAAAUGACUAAAGCUUGCAUGGCUUUUGGCACUCAGGAAGCGCUUGCUAAGGGAACUGUAACACAUAUUAAGUGGCAACCCAGUCCUCUGAGCCUCCACCUGCGCAUAAAGGGACUGGAGUAGGUGAGACCCUGAGCCCGGUCCGCUGGACGGAGCCCUCGCUUGACGGCCCAUGUCUGCCCCGGAACCCGCAUCCAGAUGGCUGAUUGUGCCCCGGGAAUGGUUGCUUAGGAGACAGCAAACAGAGGGCGGGGCCUUGGAAUGGAGGGCCCGGCUCCGGCUUCCGCAGGGCCCUCGGGGAAAGGCGGGGGCGCGCGCGGAGGGGUGGCGGGUGCAGGGGCGCUGGGAGCGCGCGCGCGGCGAGGGACGCAUGGAGGGCCCCAGCGUGGCGCUGCUCCUGGGCGCGGGGGAGCUGGGGGCCAGGAGCCGGAGCUCCGCUGCCUGGUACUGCCAGGAGGGCGAACCGGUGUGCAGCUGGCCGCGGAAGCCACAGCCGGCUGAGCUACGCACCAGUGCCCCCGUAUUGUGGCCCUGGGCGCGCCACUCCGGCUUCGCGCUGCCCGGGACGCUGCCACGGCCGGGGCCUGUCUCCGCCCGGUCCGACAAAGCCAGAGAAGGCGGCAAACGCCGGGCGGACAGCCCAGCCUCCUCGAGCCGCCCGGGCAACGCCUUCACCAAGCUCACCUGCGGCGGCCGCGCCCCGGAAGCCGCGGUUCCGCUCCCCCUCGGCUCCCCGUUCAUCCACGCCCUGGAUGAGCCCCCGCCACAGGAAGGUGAGGCCCAGAGGGGCCCGCCCCGCCACCCACCCCGAGGGAGCAGGAGACUCUGGCCAGUGGCCGCUGCGAAGGACGACAAGACAUUGGGGUGGAAGGAAUGGGGGUCUGGAGAAGAGACUCAGACAGGGUGGGCGGAUGAAGGGUGGAAGAAGAGAAGGGGGCGUGGGAUUCAGAGGUUGGGAAAGACCCCCAGGCCAAGGCCUAGCUACCUCCCUCUCUCCACCCCCACCCCCCAUCUCCCUGCAGGCUCCCUUGUCCUCUGGCAAGGAUUCUCCAAGGUGUCUCACCACAUGGGCCGGCUCAGAAACGCCAAGAUCCACGUGGAGAGAGCUGUCAAGCAGAAGAAGGUCUUUAUGAUCCAAGGCCGCUACCCAGUGAUCCGGUGCCUCUUGCAGCGGAGGGGCUGGGUGGAGAAGAAGAUAGUUCAUCACAUGGACACCACCCUGCCACUGCCCCAGAAGGAUCUGGAUAGCUCAAUGGUGGGCGAUAGUGACACCACUGAGGAUGAGGAGGAGGAGGAUGACGAGGAGUUCCAGCCUCCACAGCUGCUCAACUUGGAUGGUUUACUGGAAUUUGGCGACCUGGAUGGGACACAUGCUCUGAUGUCCCGCAUGGUGCGGAAUGAGACCCCUUACUUCAUCUGGACCACUCGGCGGGAUGUGAUGGAUUGUCGCUUCCUCUCCAAGGACCAAAUGAUAAACCACUAUGCCCGGGCCGGCUCCUUUACGACAAAGGUGGGUCUGUGUAUGAAUCUCCGGAAUUUGCCCUGGUUUGACGAGGCUGAUGCAGAUUCCUUCUUCCCACGCUGCUACCGCCUGGGGGCUGAGGAUGACAAACGAGCUUUCAUAGAGGACUUCUGGCUGACAGCUGCCCGCAACGUUCUCAAGCUGGUGGUGAAGUCAAGAUGGAAGCCGUACUCUAUCCAGGCAAAAGAAGAAAAGGCCCCAGGAAACAAGCAGCAAAAGAAACAGGACAAAAAAACAGUGACAGUGUCUGCAGAGUUUGUGGAUGAGGCUCUGUGUGCGUGUCAGGAGCACCUCAGCAAUCUGGCCCACCUGGACAUUGACAGGGAUCUGGAGGCCCCACUCUACCUCAGUCCCGAGGGCUGGUCCCUCUUCCUCCAGCGCUACUACCAAGUGGUCCAUGAGGGGGCAGAACUCAAGCACGUGGACACUCAGGUCCAGCGCUGUGAGGACAUCCUGCAGCAACUGCGGGCCGUGGUGCCCCAGAUCGACAUGGAAGGCGAUCGCAAUAUCUGGAUUGUGAAGCCGGGAGCCAAGUCCCGCGGACGAGGUAUUAUGUGCAUGGACCACCUGGAGGAGAUGCUAAAACUGGUGGAUGGCAACCCUCUGGUGAUAAAGGAUGGCAAGUGGGUGGUGCAGAAGUAUAUUGAGCGGCCUCUGCUCAUCUUUGGCACCAAAUUUGACCUGAGACAGUGGUUCCUGGUGACCGACUGGAACCCACUUACUGUAUGGUUCUACCGUGAAAGCUACAUCCGCUUCUCCACGCAGCCCUUCUCCCUGAAGAACCUGGACAACUCAGUGCACCUGUGCAACAACUCCAUCCAGAAGCACCUGGAGAACUCGUGCCACCGGCACCCGCUGCUGCCCCAAGACAACAUGUGGUCCAGCCAGAAGUUCCAGGCCCACCUGCAGGAGAUGGGGGCCCCGAAGGCUUGGUCCACUGUCAUUGUGCCUGGCAUGAAGGCCGCUGUGAUCCACGUGCUGCAGACCUCCCAGGACACCGUGCAGUGCCGGAAGGCCAGCUUCGAGCUCUACGGUGCUGACUUUGUGUUUGGGGAGGACUUCCAGCCAUGGCUGAUCGAGAUCAAUGCCAGCCCCACCAUGGCACCCUCCACGGCUGUCACCGCCCAGCUCUGUGCCGGCGUGCAGGCCGACACCCUCCGCGUGGUCAUCGACCGGCAGCAGGACCGCAACUGUGACACAGGGGCUUUCGAGCUCAUCUACAAGCAGGCCGUCGUGGAGGUGCCCCAUUAUGUGGGCAUCCGGCUCCUGGUGGAGGGCUCCACCAUCAAGAAACCCAGUGCAAUGUGUCACCGGCGGAUGGCCGUCCGUCCGUCACUCCCUCAUCUGCUCACCCAGCAAGGUUCUGGGGAGGACAAGGACUCAGGGACCCCCACCUCCAGGUCAUCUUCUAGGAAAGUGGCUGGGGCCAGGAGCCUGGGGCACAUUGAGAAGCCAGACUCUACUGCCACCGCCUCGGCCCCCGGAAAGGGGAAGAAAGGCAAGGCGAAAAGUGCCACCGCCCUGGUCCACCCUAGUCUCCAGAAGUGGGACACCCCUGCCACCAGAAUGGGCUGCGUUUUCACCACGACCUUUGCUAAUGGGGACAGGCAGUCCCACCCCUUGAACAGAUUGCCACUGAGUCCGAAGAACCCCCAGGCCCUGGCUCCUUACUGCUUCCCCAGCCUCCCCACCAAGGCCCGGCUGCCUUCUCCCCACGUGCUCCGACCGCAGGGGCGGGUCCUCAAGCUGCAGCACAGCAAGCUGGCGGGCCCUAGAGCCCUGUCGAACACAGGCAAGGCCUUGCUGACUCUACCUACCGCCAAGGUUUUGAUUGCCCUCCCGCCUACAUCUGAGGUCAAGCCCAGAGGCUGGAAGCCAGGCAAGGGGGGAACCUGUGGGACAAUGAAGCCAGCAUGCAGGGAGGAAGAACCAAGAAAUGGAGAAAGAGCUUCCUGAUGACAGCCUCUGAGCCUCCGGAUCCAGCUGUGCCUGGAUUUGUUAUUUGAGCCAAUAGGAAAACUGAAGCUCCAAAAGAAGUAACUUGUCUGCCACCAUCAGCUGGGAUCCAACCCAGGACUUCUACUCUGCUUCCAUUUCUGGCAAUAUGGUGGAAUGGAUAUUCUAAAAUCCCUCUUGCUACAAACCACCUAGAAACACUAGUUUCAGAGCUGCUUGGAUCUUCCCCUCCAAAGGAGCUGGGAUCCCAUCAGUGAUGGCACUGAGUGAAGAAAAGGGCAGGAGGCGGUCACAGAGGGGCCUGCAGGGACCUCCCCACUGCCCUGGAGUCUCCCACGAUCGCUCACCAGUAGGUGGCUGUGGGUCGCUGGUUUCUCCGUGAGUGAGCAAAGAACUUCUGGAGGCGGCUUGCAGUCUGGGGACAACUGGAGAGGAGUACAAGUCCAGAGCUCUCCCUGGAGGAAGAGGGCAAAUACGCAAGUUAAAGCCCUCGGGUUCACAUACAAAAAAAAGGGAGACCCCUAAGAAGGGGUUCAGGCCUGCUCAAGGCCAACAGUAACACCAGACUUCCUCCUGAGGAACAGAGAGGGGCUCCCUUUGUUUGAUAACAAGACUAGGUAACUUAAUAUGUUUCUUAUUAGGCCCUGGCCCCCAGGGAACUCAGAGCCAACUAUCAUAACAAUUACCACCAAUGGCUGAGUAUCUACCAUGUGCCAGGCCCUACACUAGCAAUUUUAUAUAUAUGUUUUUAUAUAUAAGUUGUACUGUACUGUAUUGUAUUUUUUAUUGUAUUGUAUUUAUUUUCUUUUUUA